RNAcentral lists this long non-coding RNA (221 nucleotides) under Panax ginseng (ginseng). Its description in RNAcentral is "long non-coding RNA (PGIN_LNC004720)". Lineage: Eukaryota; Viridiplantae; Streptophyta; Magnoliopsida; Apiales; Araliaceae. The record is from RNAcentral.
AUUGAUCCCAACAUGCUAACUGAAUUUGCUCAGUUAAAGUAUAAUGCAAUGAAGUAUAAUUUCAUGACUGGGCCUACUAUUAUUUUUCAUUCUCAUCCUGAUUUGCUUGUCAAUUUGAAGAAAAUUGGUUGUGUUUGUCUAAUUUCUUUUUCAAGUAGGUGUGUUUAUCUGGAUUUAGUUAGUGAGUUUUAUGAUCAUAUGAAAUUUAUAAAAGAUGUUGG